GUUGUAUGGUUAAGUGACUAAGCGUACACGGUGGAUGCCUUGGCAGUCAGAGGCGAUGAAAGACGUAGUAACUUGCGAUAAGCCCAGAUUAGGUAGUAACAACCAUUUGAGUCUGGGAUUUCUGAAUGGGGAAACCCACGUGCAUAAGCACGUAUCCUUACCUGAAUACAUAGGGUAAGGAGGCGAACCGGGGGAACUGAAACAUCUAAGUACCCCGAGGAAAAGAAAUCAACCGAGAUUCCGAAAGUAGCGGCGAGCGAAAUUGGACUAGCCCUUAAGCUUUACACGCGUUAGACGAACGGUCUGGAAAGUCCGACGAUACAGGGUGAUAGUCCCGUAGUUGACGACGUGUGUUCAGUGAAAUCGAGUAGGGCGGGACACGUGAUAUCCUGUCUGAAUAUGGGGGGACCAUCCUCCAAGGCUAAAUACUACUGACUGACCGAUAGUGAACCAGUACCGUGAGGGAAAGGCGAAAAGAACCCCUGUGAGGGGAGUGAAAUAGAACCUGAAACCGUGUACGUACAAGCAGUAGGAGCAGGCUUUGUCCUGUGACUGCGUACCUUUUGUAUAAUGGGUCAGCGACUUAUAUUCAGUGGCAAGGUUAACCAUCUAGGGGAGCCGUAGGGAAACCGAGUCUUAACUGGGCGUUCAGUCUCUGGAUAUAGACCCGAAACCAGGUGAUCUAGCCAUGGGCAGGUUGAAGGUUGAGUAACAUCAACUGGAGGACCGAACCGACUAAUGUUGAAAAAUUAGCGGAUGACUUGUGGCUAGGGGUGAAAGGCCAAUCAAACCUGGAGAUAGCUGGUUCUCCCCGAAAGCUAUUUAGGUAGCGCCUCGGACGAAUACUACUGGGGGUAGAGCACUGUUAAGGCUAGGGGGUCAUCCCGACUUACCAACCCUUUGCAAACUCCGAAUACCAGUAAGUACUAUCCGGGAGACACACGGCGGGUGCUAACGUCCGUCGUGGAGAGGGAAACAACCCAGACCGCCAGCUAAGGUCCCAAAUUACUACUAAGUGGGAAACGAUGUGGGAAGGCUCAGACAGCCAGGAUGUUGGCUUAGAAGCAGCCAUCAUUUAAAGAAAGCGUAAUAGCUCACUGGUCGAGUCGGCCUGCGCGGAAGAUGUAACGGGGCUAAGUAGUAAACCGAAGCUGCGGCAAUGUGCUUUUGCACAUUGGGUAGGGGAGCGUUCUGUAAGCGGUUGAAGGUGUGUGGUAACGCAUGCUGGACGUAUCAGAAGUGCGAAUGCUGACAUGAGUAACGAUAAAGGGGGUGAAAAACCUCCUCGCCGGAAGACCAAGGGUUCCUGUCCAACGUUAAUCGGGGCAGGGUAAGUCGACCCCUAAGGCGAGGCCGAAAGGCGUAGUCGAUGGGAAACGGGUUAAUAUUCCCGUACUUCUUACAAUUGCGAUGGGGGGACGGAGAAGGCUAGGUGGGCCUGGCGACGGUUGUCCAGGUUCAAGUGCGUAGGCUUAAGAGUUAGGUAAAUCCGGCUCUUUCUAAGGCUGAGACACGACGUCGAGCUACUACGGUAGUGAAGUCAUUGAUGCCAUGCUUCCAGGAAAAGCCUCUAAGCUUCAGAUUGUAAGGAAUCGUACCCCAAACCGACACAGGUGGUCGGGUAGAGAAUACCAAGGCGCUUGAGAGAACUCGGGUGAAGGAACUAGGCAAAAUGGUACCGUAACUUCGGGAGAAGGUACGCUCUCGACGGUGAAGUCCCUCGCGGAUGGAGCUAUUGAGAGUCGCAGAUACCAGGUGGCUGCAACUGUUUAUUAAAAACACAGCACUGUGCAAAAUCGUAAGAUGACGUAUACGGUGUGACGCCUGCCCGGUGCCGGAAGGUUAAUUGAUGGGGUUAGACUUCGGUCGAAGCUCUUGAUCGAAGCCCCGGUAAACGGCGGCCGUAACUAUAACGGUCCUAAGGUAGCGAAAUUCCUUGUCGGGUAAGUUCCGACCUGCACGAAUGGCGUAAUGAUGGCCACGCUGUCUCCACCCGAGACUCAGUGAAAUUGAAAUCGCUGUGAAGAUGCAGUGUACCCGCGGCUAGACGGAAAGACCCCGUGAACCUUUACUACAGCUUGGCACUGAACAUUGACCCUACAUGUGUAGGAUAGGUGGGAGGCUUUGAAGCACGUACGCCAGUAUGUGUGGAGCCGUCCUUGAAAUACCACCCUUGUAGUGUUGAUGUUCUAACGUCGACCCCUUAUCGGGGUUGCGGACAGUGCCUGGUGGGUAGUUUGACUGGGGCGGUCUCCUCCCAAAGAGUAACGGAGGAGCACGAAGGUGGGCUAAUCACGGUUGGACAUCGUGAGGUUAGUGCAAUGGCAUAAGCCCGCUUGACUGCGAGAAUGACAAUUCGAGCAGGUGCGAAAGCAGGUCAUAGUGAUCCGGUGGUUCUGAAUGGAAGGGCCAUCGCUCAACGGAUAAAAGGUACUCCGGGGAUAACAGGCUGAUACCGCCCAAGAGUUCAUAUCGACGGCGGUGUUUGGCACCUCGAUGUCGGCUCAUCACAUCCUGGGGCUGAAGUCGGUCCCAAGGGUAUGGCUGUUCGCCAUUUAAAGUGGUACGCGAGCUGGGUUUAGAACGUCGUGAGACAGUUCGGUCCCUAUCUGCCGUGGGCGUUGGAAGAUUGAAGGGGGCUGCUCCUAGUACGAGAGGACCGGAGUGGACGAACCUCUGGUGUUCGGGUUGUGUCGCCAGACGCAUUGCCCGGUAGCUAAGUUCGGAAUCGAUAACCGCUGAAAGCAUCUAAGCGGGAAGCGAGCCCUGAGAUGAGUCUUCCCUGAUACUUUAAGUAUCCUAAAGGGUUGUCGGAGACUACGACGUUGAUAGGUCAGGUGUGUAAGUGCUGUGAGGCAUUGAGCUAACUGAUACUAAUUGCCCGUGAGGCUUAACCAUACAACACCCAAGGGGUUU
RNAcentral lists this ribosomal RNA (2916 nucleotides) under Vibrio parahaemolyticus. RNAcentral's name for it is "bacterial LSU rRNA". It matches the Rfam family "Bacterial large subunit ribosomal RNA". The record is from RNAcentral. Lineage: Bacteria; Pseudomonadati; Pseudomonadota; Gammaproteobacteria; Vibrionales; Vibrionaceae.